CGGCAAAGCUCAAAUUUGAAAUCUGGCACUUUCAGUGUCCGAGUUGUAAUUUGAAGAAGGUAUCUUUGGGUCUGGCUCUUGUCUAUGUUUCUUGGAACAGAACGUCACAGAGGGUGAGAAUCCCGUGCGAUGAGAUGUCCCAGACCUAUGUAAAGUUCCUUCGAAGAGUCGAGUUGUUUGGGAAUGCAGCUCUAAGUGGGUGGUAAAUUCCAUCUAAAGCUAAAUAUUGGCGAGAGACCGAUAGCGAACAAGUACAGUGAUGGAAAGAUGAAAAGAACUUUGAAAAGAGAGUGAAAAAGUACGUGAAAUUGUUGAAAGGGAAGGGCUUGAGAUCAGACUUGGUAUUUUGUAUGUUACUCUCUCGGGGGUGGCCUCUACAGUUUACCGGGCCAGCAUCAGUUUGAGCGGUAGGAUAAGUGCAAAGAAAUGUGGCACUGCUUCGGUAGUGUGUUAUAGUCUUUGUCGAUACUGCCAGCUUAGACUGAGGACUGCG
RNAcentral lists this ribosomal RNA (493 nucleotides) under Lodderomyces parapsilosis. Its description in RNAcentral is "Candida parapsilosis partial large subunit ribosomal RNA". It matches the Rfam family "Eukaryotic large subunit ribosomal RNA", at positions 100 to 599 of the family's 3401-position model. Lineage: Eukaryota; Fungi; Ascomycota; Pichiomycetes; Serinales; Debaryomycetaceae. The record is from RNAcentral.